This 181-nucleotide ribosomal RNA is filed under the name Halobacteriaceae gen. sp. 524. Its description in RNAcentral is "partial 16S ribosomal RNA". It matches the Rfam family "Archaeal small subunit ribosomal RNA", at positions 259 to 439 of the family's 1478-position model. Lineage: Archaea; Methanobacteriati; Methanobacteriota; Halobacteria; Halobacteriales; Halobacteriaceae. The record is from RNAcentral.
CAUAAUCGGUACGGGUUGUGAGAGCAAGAGCCCGGAGACGGUAUCUGAGACAAGAUACCGGGCCCUACGGGGCGCAGCAGGCGCGAAACCUUUACACUGCACGCGAGUGCGAUANGGGGACUCCGAGUGCGAGGGCAUAUAGUCCUCGCUUUUCACGACCGUAAGGUGGUCGUAGAAUAAG